This is a long non-coding RNA of Hemicordylus capensis (graceful crag lizard), 3610 nucleotides long. RefSeq lists it as uncharacterized. The record is from RefSeq and is a predicted model, not a curated record. NCBI's taxonomy places the organism in Eukaryota, Metazoa, Chordata, Lepidosauria, Squamata, Cordylidae. The transcript is spliced from 2 exons.
UCAGGCAGCAGCAAUAUAGGAAAGUGCUGAAAGGCAUCAUCAUCUCAUCCUGCAUGGGAGGAGGCCAUGGCAAACCCCUCCUGUAUUCUACCAAAGACAACCACAGGGCUCUGUGGUCGCCAGGAGUCGACACUGACUCGAUGGCAUAAUCUUUCCUUUUCUUUAAAAGCCAACAGGGAUGGGGCAGCUCGAAGCUCGGCGGGAAGCACGUCCCACAGACCCGGCACGAGAUGAGCUGGCAGCACCCUCAGAGGAAGGAACCUCCCCUGAAGAUCUUAAUAGAUGGCGGGGUUCAUCGCGAAGAAGGCGUUCUUCAUUCUGCUCACCGCACCUUAAGUGUAGAGCUGGAAAUGGUGCAGAGAUGGGCAGCCAGCAGAACUGGGGGCUGGAGAGACUCCUCUGUGAGGGGAGUCCACAGAGUUUGAGCCUUUUUCGUUUAGAAAGAAAGCAGGCCAGGUGUGUGUGUGUGUGUGUGUGUGUGUGUGUGUGUGUGUGUGUGUGUGAUAGAGGUCUAUAAAAUAAUGUAGGAUGUGGAGAGGGGGGGGGUUCUCCCCCUCUCAUAAUAAUAAAAACUGGGGCCAUCAGUUGAUGUGAAAUGCUGGGAGAUUCAGGGGAAAUUGAAUUUCUUUUUCCCCACAGUGGGUAGUUAAACUGUAGAAUUCACUGCCCCUGGAUGUGGGGAUGGUCACCAAUCUAGAAGGGGUUGCAAAGGGGUUAGACAAGUUAACAGAGGACAGGGCUAUCGAUGGCUAGGCUAGCCUGGAUACCUGUAGAUUUCCUAGGUGCUAUAAAUGUCCUCUUUCCUCCCAUUUACGAAUACAACAAAUAUUUAUAUACUGCUUGGGGAACCACGUUCCCCAAGCGGUUUGCAUAGCUAUAAAUAAAUAAAAUGGUUCCCUGUCCCCAAAGGGCUCACAAUCAAAAAAAGAAACAUAAGUUGGACACCAGCAACAGCCACUGGAGGGAUGCUGUGCUGGGGAUGGAGAGGGCCAGCUGCUCUCCCCCUGCGAAAGAUAAGAGAAUUGCCACUCUAAAAAGGUGCCCCUUUGCUCACUUUGCUCAGGGGCAUUUGCAGGAUUCCCACAUGCAAUGGUGGGCCACUGCAUGAAGCAGGACGCUGGACUAGAUGGGCCUGAUCCAGUAGGGCUUGUCCUUCUGUCCUUAUGAGUUCCUCACCCCUUCCCUGCUUGCCAUGGUUCUGCUUCUCACCCCCACACACCCCAUGGCUGCUAUUUACAAUGAAAGUCAUACACAGGGGGAAACCUUUAUUCCCAUGGAUAUUUUUGUGCACACCAGCACCACGCAUUUAAAGAGAUCUCCAACCAAAAGAUGUGUGGUUUUCUGAGGCAGAUCUGAAUCGUUGCUGGGCAUAGCAGGAACCUUAUUACCUGCAACAAGAUUAACAGAAUGGAACAUCCCUUGUGCUUUCAGUCCCCACCUCUUCUCAUGGAUUGGACCAUAAUAAUCCCAACUGCAGCAGGAGUGGAAAUGCAUGGCUAUCAUAUAUAUCUCCCCUCUAGACAUCGGUACCAGCCAACCAUGCCGUGGAAGGGAGAAACCAGCACCAGUUUAGUCCCUACGUUGGGACUGGCGUGGGGUCUCCUAGCAGGAGUAAUAAUCUUUCAGACAAUUGCCACUGAAGAAGACUCUGUCUAGUCACAACACACUGGGCGGAAGGAGCAGACUGGCCAGAUACUGGCAAAACUGUGACCUGACACUUCAUCUUUCAAUCAAAGCAGGCUAUUGUGACCACAGGGGGAAUAUUUGCCUACUACACACCUCCCUUGCAUUGACAACAUGACAUUUUUGAAAGGAACUAUCGGAUUUCAUCUUUCCAGAGACCAUUUCAAUGAGAUCAAAUUUUAUUGUGAUAUACAGAGGUAUUUUAUUGAUCUGGAUUUAAUGUAGUCCAGAUAGUUUUCAACCAUACAGUGUUAUUUUAAAUCAUACAGUAUUAAUACCAUACAGUGUAAUAUUUUAAUACAGUAAUAUUAAAAUAUUAGCAUAUGGUAUUUGGAUUCUUUCCUGAUGCUCUCAACUAGCUACCACCAGUGAUCAUCCGAGGACCUCCAGCCUUCCUAGGACACAGAUUCCAGGAAUCUCUAGAUACCUCUGUCGUUUCCCCGGAAGUGGCAUCCUGCCUCUUCUGGGUCAGAUGGCACUUGCCAUAAAGUAUCAGGUCUGUACCUGCGGGAACCUUUGCAUCCUGCCUUCCAGAUGGAUGCCCGACUCAAAGCACUUUCCUCCAACUGCAACCUUCCUGGAGUCAACCUUCCUCAACCUUCCUGGAGACACGCAGGCUUGCCACGGUUCUCCACCUCCAAAUAAUGUUCAGAUUAAAUGAAUGCAAUGCUUUGUAAGCAAAGCUGCCUAUGGAUUCUGUGGCUGUUCCCAGACGGAGACCGCUUUUGUGUUUACUGUCAUGGGCAGUUCUUACGAGCCAAAAGAAAUUCAACUAAAAUUACACAUUAUCAUAGCGAAGCUGAUUUGUUAUCCUCACAACUGAUUCAAAGGGGAUAUCCGAAAGAGGUAGUACAUAGAACUAAGAUCAGAGCAGAUAUCACUAGAUGGAGUGAGUUACUCCAGGAUGCCCCUAGUGACUGUUUGAUUUGGUCCAUGGUUUUGGAUAUACCUGGUUGUAACACACACACACACACACGCACACCAUGGUGGCCUUUAGAAAAACUAGGAGCUUGAGAAAUUUGCUGACUCGUUCGGACUUUUCAGUAAGAUCGCCAGUGAGAAAUGCUACACAACGUUUUUAUCCCUGUGGGAGCUGUGCAGCCUGUUCUUUUAGCCUCCCUACGACUGAAUAUUGGGAGCCCAGUAAUAAAAAACAUGUUCGUUUAAAAAAAAAUUGCGAACUGCAAAACGAAAGGUACUGUUUAUGUGAUAGUUUGUCUGUGCAACUUGUGGUAUAUUGGGAGCAGUAUGAGAGCCAUUAAGACCCGUGUUCUCGAACACAGAUCCAGGUUGAAGAACAGAAUAUUGGAUGUCCCAUUAGUGCCACAUUUUGUUGAAAAAUCCCACUCACCUGAUGAUUUGAAGUUUUUGUAUUGUUCAAAUUUAUAUCAAGGUCCUUUGACAAACAGGACACACAUUGGAUUCUCCUUCAAAAAAAGACUUACUUUAUUCAUAAGUUCAAGACAUGUAUACCUAAUGGGUUAAAUGUAAACUGUGAUUUCUCCUGUUUCCUUUAAGGGGGGGAUGAAGAUCAGUACAGUUCGUUAAUUAUUUCCGCCUGACCAUGUGACUGGUUGAUUUAUUUGGGGAGUAUUUACUCCAAGGCUGAGUGUAGUUCGUUAAGGAGAUUAGCAUGUUUUAAGCAGGCACUUGUGAUGGUGCUGCUCCAAGAAACAAGGCUAUUCCAGAUAUAAGGGUUCAGGAUGAUUGAUUAUAUCUUACCCAUGAGGAUUCACUUCAAGCAAACUGGCACCACUGAUAUCACAUCUGCUAUUGGGCACCAUGAGCAUCUCAGUAACUUUUGUCAAGAAUGACAUCUUUGAGUCUGUGGAGUCUUCACUAGCCCACACUGUUUGUAUUUACUUGCUUUGGUAUUAUGGAUGCCUGUUGCAGUUUGUGAUUACACUUGGAGUAUUGUUGUACCCUG